This 230-nucleotide non-coding RNA is filed under the name Bacillus cereus. RNAcentral's name for it is "T-box sequence". It matches the Rfam family "T-box leader". Rfam says of the family: Uncharged tRNA acts as the effector for transcription antitermination of genes in the T-box leader family. The record is from RNAcentral. Lineage: Bacteria; Bacillati; Bacillota; Bacilli; Caryophanales; Bacillaceae.
UGUAAAGCGUUGAUAGGGAGGAGUAGUUGAUUGUGAAGCCUCACAGAGAGUCGGUGGUUGCUGGAAACCGAUGGUUCACGUCGACGAACAUCGCCCUUGAGUGCUAAGCUGAAGCGUUUGUCUAGGCUUAGACGGUAGCUCCGUUAUUAGCUAGACUCAUCCCCUGAGUCACUGAGGCAAGAAGUAUUCUUGCAAAGAAGGGUGGUACCGCGAAAUCUUUCGUCCCUUCA